UACGUAGGGGGCAAGCGUUGUCCGGAUUUACUGGGCGUAAAGAGCGCGCAGGCGGUCGAAUAAGUCGAAUGUGAAAGCCCCCGGCUCAACUGGGGAGGGUCACGCGAUACUGCUCGACUUGAAGGCAGGAGAGGGAAGUGGAAUUCCCGGUGUAGUGGUGAAAUGCGUAGAUAUCGGGAGGAACACCAGUGGCGAAGGCGACUUCCUGGCCUGUUCUUGACGCUGAGGCGCGAAAGCUAGGGUAGCAAACGGG
Molecule: ribosomal RNA, 253 nt
Filed under: uncultured bacterium
Lineage: Bacteria
Description: partial 16S ribosomal RNA
Rfam family: Bacterial small subunit ribosomal RNA
Source: RNAcentral